RNAcentral lists this ribosomal RNA (21 nucleotides) under Colacogloea foliorum. RNAcentral describes it as "partial 26S rRNA". The record is from RNAcentral. Lineage: Eukaryota; Fungi; Basidiomycota; Microbotryomycetes; Colacogloeaceae.
UAGACCUCAGAUCAGGUAGGA